RNAcentral lists this ribosomal RNA (432 nucleotides) under uncultured bacterium. RNAcentral's name for it is "partial 16S ribosomal RNA". It matches the Rfam family "Bacterial small subunit ribosomal RNA", at positions 29 to 507 of the family's 1533-position model. The record is from RNAcentral.
AACGAACGCUGGCGGCAUGCCUAACACAUGCAAGUCGAACGAGACCUUCGGGUCUAGUGGCGCACGGGUGCGUAACGCGUGGGAACCUGCCCUUAGGUUCGGAAUAACUCCCCGAAAGGGGUGCUAAUACCGGAUAAUGUCUUCGGACCAAAGAUUAUCGGCUUUGGAUGGGCCCGCGUUGGAUUAGCUAGUUGGUAGGGUAAAAGCCUACCAAGGCGACGAUCCAUAGCUGGUCUGAGAGGAUGAUCAGCCACACUGGGACUGAGACACGGCCCAGACUCCUACGGGAGGCAGCAGUGGGGAAUAUUGGACAAUGGGCGAAAGCCUGAUCCAGCAAUGCCGCGUGAGUGAUGAAGGCCUUAGGGUUGUAAAGCUCUUUUACCCGGGAUGAUAAUGACAGUACCGGGAGAAUAAGCUCCGGCUAACUCCGUG